RNAcentral lists this ribosomal RNA (270 nucleotides) under uncultured bacterium. Its description in RNAcentral is "partial 16S ribosomal RNA". It matches the Rfam family "Bacterial small subunit ribosomal RNA", at positions 57 to 305 of the family's 1533-position model. The record is from RNAcentral.
GCAAGUCGAACGCUUCUGCUUUGACUGAUGCUUGCAUCGACUAAAGUUAGAAGAGUGGCGAACGGGUGAGUAACACGUGGGUAACCUGCCCAUCAGAGGGGGACAACACUUGGAAACAGGUGCUAAUACCGCAUGACAAUAAAAACCGCAUGGUUUUUAUUUGAAAGGCGCUUCUGGUGUCGCUGAUGGAUGGACCCGCGGUGCAUUAGCUAGACGGUGAGGUAAUGGCUCACCGUGGCAAUGAUGCAUAGCCGACCUGAGAGGGUGAUC